This 431-nucleotide long non-coding RNA is filed under the name Mytilus galloprovincialis (Mediterranean mussel). The record is from RNAcentral. Lineage: Eukaryota; Metazoa; Mollusca; Bivalvia; Mytilida; Mytilidae.
GUUGACAAUUUUACAGAUGACAUCAGAUAUGUUUGCCAUAGACACAGCCCCGUAUUACUUUCCUCAAAUAUGUCAUCAUCGAAUGAGACUCACCAACGAUUCUGCAAUUACAUAUGAAAUACGACAGCUGCCUAAUGUGAAGCAGGAUCUGCUUACCUUCCCAGUACACCUGAUAUCCCCCGGUUCUUGAUGUGUUUCAUGUUGUUCAGUUUUAAUUUUUAAUGUUGCGUUUAGUAGACUUUGUUUUUUUUUUCUUUUUAUGCCAUGUUGUUGUAAGUCUGUCUUCCACUUACAUCACUUUAUCUUCAGCCACCAAUUGUGUCAAUGUUUUGAUUGUACCAGUUUGGUGUAUAGACAAAUAGAUAUGGAAUUUUAAAUGGUCAUUGACUUGUUUUUAGAUUGAGUUAAUCAAGCUUCAGUUUAAGUAUUUG